GUCCACGCCCUAAACGAUGUCGACUAGCUAUUGGGAGCAUCGACCCUUCCAGUGGCAAAGCUAACGCGUUAAGUCGACCGCCUGGGAAGUACGAUCGCAAGAUUAAAACUCAAAGAAAUAGGCGGGAACUCGCACAAGCAGUGGAUCAUGUGGUUCAAUUCGACUCUAACCGAGAAACCUCACCAGGGCUUGAAAUCCAAUGGAAAUCCUUAGGAAACUUUGGACCCCGAAGGCCGUUGGACAGUGCCGCACGGCUGUCGU
Molecule: ribosomal RNA, 261 nt
Filed under: uncultured bacterium
Lineage: Bacteria
Description: partial 16S ribosomal RNA
Rfam family: Bacterial small subunit ribosomal RNA
Source: RNAcentral